AGUGAACGCUGGCGGUAGGCCUAACACAUGCAAGUCGAACGGCAGCACAGUAAGAGCUUGCUCUUACGGGUGGCGAGUGGCGGACGGGUGAGGAAUACAUCGGUAUCUACUUUUUCGUGGGGGAUAACGUAGGGAAACUUACGCUAAUACCGCAUACGACCUACGGGUGAAAGCAGGGGAUCUUCGGACCUUGCGCGAUUGAAUGAGCCGAUGUCGGAUUAGCUAGUUGGCGGGGUAAAGGCCCACCAAGGCGACGAUCCGUAGCUGGUCUGAGAGGAUGAUCAGCCACACUGGAACUGAGACACGGUCCAGACUCCUACGGGAGGCAGCAGUGGGGAAUAUUGGACAAUGGGCGCAAGCCUGAUCCAGCCAUACCGCGUGAGUGAAGAAGGCCUUCGGGUUGUAAAGCCCUUUUGUUGGGAAAGAAAAGCAGCAGGUUAAUACCCCGCUGUUCUGACGGUACCCAAAGAAUAAGCACCGGCUAACUUCGUG
Molecule: ribosomal RNA, 492 nt
Filed under: uncultured bacterium
Lineage: Bacteria
Description: partial 16S ribosomal RNA
Rfam family: Bacterial small subunit ribosomal RNA
Source: RNAcentral